CUGGACGUGGUGUAGCGGAAGCACGCGUGGUUUGGGACCACGCGGCGGAGGUUCGACUCCUCCCGUCUGGA
This 71-nucleotide transfer RNA is filed under the name Frankiaceae bacterium. RNAcentral describes it as "tRNA-Pro". It matches the Rfam family "tRNA". From Rfam's summary of the family: Transfer RNA (tRNA) molecules are approximately 80 nucleotides in length. Their secondary structure includes four short double-helical elements and three loops (D, anti-codon, and T loops). Further hydrogen bonds mediate the characteristic L-shaped molecular structure. tRNAs have two regions of fundamental functional importance: the anti-codon, which is responsible for specific mRNA codon recognition, and the 3' end, to which the tRNAs corresponding amino acid is attached (by aminoacyl-tRNA synthetases). tRNAs cope with the degeneracy of the genetic code in two manners: having more than one tRNA (with a specific anti-codon) for a particular amino acid; and 'wobble' base-pairing, i.e. permitting non-standard base-pairing at the 3rd anti-codon position. The record is from RNAcentral. Lineage: Bacteria; Bacillati; Actinomycetota; Actinomycetes; Frankiales; Frankiaceae.